This 526-nucleotide ribosomal RNA is filed under the name uncultured bacterium. RNAcentral's name for it is "partial 16S ribosomal RNA". It matches the Rfam family "Bacterial small subunit ribosomal RNA", at positions 28 to 523 of the family's 1533-position model. The record is from RNAcentral.
GACGAACGCUGGCGGCGUGCUUAACACAUGCAAGUCGAACGAAGAUUUGAGGGAGCUUGCUCCAUUAAAUCUUAGUGGCGAACGGGUGAGUAACGCGUAAUCAACCUGCCCUUUUGUGGGGGACAACAGAUGGAAACGUCUGCUAAUACCGCAUACGUUCCUAGAGCCGCAUGACUUUAGGAAGAAAGGUGGCCUCUAUAUAUAAGCUACCGUAAAAGGAGGGGAUUGCGUCUGAUUAGCUAGUUGGAGGGGUAACGGCCCACCAAGGCAAUGAUCAGUAGCCUGUCUGAGAGGAUGAACGGCCACAUUGGGACUGAGACACGGCCCAAACUCCUACGGGAGGCAGCAGUGGGGAAUCUUCCGCAAUGGACGAAAGUCUGACGGAGCAACGCCGCGUGAGUGAAGAAGGCCUUCGGGUUGUAAAGCUCUGUUAAUCGGGACGAAAGAGCAGUAUGCUAAUACCAUACUGAAGUGACGGUACCGGAAUAGAAAGCCACGGCUAACUACGUGCCAGCCGCCGCGGUAA